This 302-nucleotide long non-coding RNA is filed under the name Homo sapiens (human). Its description in RNAcentral is "HSALNT0274790". Lineage: Eukaryota; Metazoa; Chordata; Mammalia; Primates; Hominidae. The record is from RNAcentral.
CACAGAUGCGAUACUGCGGGUGCAUCUGCAUAUGUGUGCACAGGUGCCUGUGCAUGUGUACAUGUGUGCAUAGACCUGUGUGUACAUCUGUCUCCAUGUACGUAUGUCUGUGUGUGGCACAGAUGGGAUACUGCGGGUGCAUCUGCAUAUGUGUGCACAGGUGCCUGUGCAUGUGUACAUGUGUGCAUAGACCUGUAUGUGCAUCUGUCUCCAUGUACGUAUGUCUGUGUGUGGCACAGAUGGGAUACUGUGGGUGCAUCUGCAUGUGUGUACACAGGUGCCUGUGCAUGCAUACGUGUGUG